Molecule: ribosomal RNA, 468 nt
Filed under: uncultured bacterium
Lineage: Bacteria
Description: partial 16S ribosomal RNA
Rfam family: Bacterial small subunit ribosomal RNA
Source: RNAcentral
GACGAACGCUGGCGGCGUGCUUAACACAUGCAAGUCGAACGGAAAGGCCCUGCUUUUGUGGGGUGCUCGAGUGGCGAACGGGUGAGUAACACGUGAGUAACCUGCCCUUGACUUUGGGAUAACUUCAGGAAACUGGGGCUAAUACCGGAUAGGAGCUCCUGCUGCAUGGUGGGGGUUGGAAAGUUUCGGCGGUUGUGGAUGGACUCGCGGCUUAUCAGCUUGUUGGUGGGGUAGUGGCUUACCAAGGCUUUGACGGGUAGCCGGCCUGAGAGGGUGACCGGCAACAUUGGGACUGAGAUACGGCCCAGACUCCUACGGGAGGCAGCAGUGGGGAAUAUUGCACAAUGGGCGGAAGCCUGAUGCAGCAACGCCGCGUGCGGGAUGACGGCCUUCGGGUUGUAAACCGCUUUCGCCUGUGACGAAGCGUGAGUGACGGUAAUGGGUAAAGAAGCACCGGCUAACUACGUG